GAUGAACGCUAGCGGCAGGCUUAACACAUGCAAGUCGAACGGCAGCACAGGUAGCAAUACUGGGUGGCGAGUGGCGCACGGGUGCGUAACGCGUAUGCAACCUACCUUUAACUGGGAGAUAGCCUGAAGAAAUUCGGAUUAAUACCCCAUAAUAUAUGUCUUUCGCAUGUUAGACAUAUUAAAGCUUCGGCGGUUAAAGAUGGGCAUGCGUAACAUUAGCUAGUUGGUAAGGUAACGGCUUACCAAGGCUACGAUGUUUAGGGGGCCUGAGAGGGUUAUCCCCCACACUGGAACUGAGACACGGUCCAGACUCCUACGGGAGGCAGCAGUGAGGAAUAUUGGUCAAUGGACGAAAGUCUGAACCAGCCAUGCCGCGUGCAGGAAGACGGUCCCUAGGGUUGUAAACUGCUUUUGUAUAGGAAUAAACCCCCGAAGUGUUCGGGGCUGAAGGUACUAUACGAAUAAGCACCGGCUAACUCCGUGCCAGCAGCCG
This 493-nucleotide ribosomal RNA is filed under the name uncultured bacterium. RNAcentral describes it as "bacterial SSU rRNA". It matches the Rfam family "Bacterial small subunit ribosomal RNA", at positions 28 to 517 of the family's 1533-position model. The record is from RNAcentral.